This 375-nucleotide ribosomal RNA is filed under the name uncultured bacterium. RNAcentral's name for it is "bacterial SSU rRNA". It matches the Rfam family "Bacterial small subunit ribosomal RNA", at positions 524 to 898 of the family's 1533-position model. The record is from RNAcentral.
UACGUAGGGGGCAAGCGUUAUCCGGAUUUACUGGGUGUAAAGGGAGCGUAGACGGCGAUGCAAGCCAGAUGUGAAAGCCCGGGGCUCAACCCCGGGACUGCAUUUGGAACUGCGUGGCUGGAGUGUCGGAGAGGCAGGCGGAAUUCCUAGUGUAGCGGUGAAAUGCGUAGAUAUUAGGAGGAACACCAGUGGCGAAGGCGGCCUGCUGGACGAUGACUGACGUUGAGGCUCGAAAGCGUGGGGAGCAAACAGGAUUAGAUACCCUGGUAGUCCACGCCGUAAACGAUGACUACUAGGUGUCGGGUGGCAAGGCCAUUCGGUGCCGCAGCAAACGCAAUAAGUAGUCCACCUGGGGAGUACGUUCGCAAGAAUGAA